Molecule: long non-coding RNA, 461 nt
Filed under: Fragaria vesca (wild strawberry)
Lineage: Eukaryota; Viridiplantae; Streptophyta; Magnoliopsida; Rosales; Rosaceae
Description: long non-coding RNA (FVES_LNC001991)
Source: RNAcentral
GCCGGCGGCGCUUUCGCUCACGCCGAGGAACACUGACAAAGGCAAGGCCGUAGCCUACGUCGACGGUCCUCCGCCGCCGCUGGGUUCGUUGAGCGAAAUCAGAAGCGGCGGCGGGGCCAAAACGUCGCCGGAGUUGCAGAAUGCAGAUUGGAGGAGGUUUAAGGAGGUUGGGUUGCUCGAUGAGGCGGCGAUGGAGCGCCGUGACCGCCAAGAACUCGCCAAUAAGGUUGAUAGGCUCGAAGCCGAGGUAAAGCCGCCACCUUUUUCGGAUUUUUUUGAUUAUUGCCUUGAUCAGAAACCCUAGAAUUUGAGCGUUGAUUUGCAUUUUGAUUAUAUCGUAAUUGAUUUGUUGUUGUGCAGCUUUAUGAUUACCAGCAUAACAUGGGGCUUCUCCUUAUCGAGAAGAAAGAGUGGGAAUUGCAGCAUGAGGAGUUGAGCCAAGCAUUGGCUGAAACUCAAGA